Lathyrus oleraceus (garden pea) is the source of this 475-nucleotide long non-coding RNA. RefSeq lists it as uncharacterized. The record is from RefSeq and is a predicted model, not a curated record. The transcript has 2 exons. NCBI's taxonomy places the organism in Eukaryota, Viridiplantae, Streptophyta, Magnoliopsida, Fabales, Fabaceae.
AUAACUUGGAUCACCUUUUAGUUUGUUUAUGUGAAAUUAUAAGAAUAAGUGCAUGUGAUUACAGUUUACUGAAAUUAACAUAGUUUACUUGUAAUUUUAUAGUAGUGUUAAAUUGGUUUGAGUUAUGGAUAUGUUCACAAGUGAAAUAAUGAUAAUAUUUUGUGUAUGAUUUAUGUUCACUAAUCAAGUAUAUAUUGUAACAGCGGUAUCAUGCUCUGAAGGUUUUUUGAAGGAACCGUUCAAUAUUAAGAUUCUCCAUAGAGAAAAUUUGUGAAUAUUAGUGAUGGAAAUGAUUGGUGCAAAGCAAAUGGAAACUCCCCUCAGCAAAGAAAAUGUCUGAAUGGAAAAGAAGUGUUUUUUCUUCUAUUGUAACACAUAUUUGAAUGACUUAAAUCACAAUGUUGUAGAGGCAUAUAUAAAUGGUGCUAUUGACAUAUUACUUAAUUUUUUAUAUCAAAAUUUGUGAUUUUUUUAU